UACGUAGGGUGCAAGCGUUAUCCGGAAUUAUUGGGCGUAAAGAGCUCGUAGGCGGCUAGGUAAGUCUGCUCUGAAAGCCCGGGGCUCAACCCCGGGAGGCGGGUGGAUACUGUCUAGCUCGAGUCCGGAAGAGGAGUGUGGAAUUCCUGGUGUAGCGGUGAAAUGCGCAGAUAUCAGGAGGAACACCAAUGGCGAAGGCAGCACUCUGGGACGUGACUGACGCUGAGACGCGAAAGCGUGGGGAGCAAACAGG
This 253-nucleotide ribosomal RNA is filed under the name uncultured bacterium. RNAcentral describes it as "partial 16S ribosomal RNA". It matches the Rfam family "Bacterial small subunit ribosomal RNA", at positions 524 to 776 of the family's 1533-position model. The record is from RNAcentral.